AGAAUCAACGCUGGCGGCGUGCCUCAGACAUGCAAGUCGAACGCGAAAGGCUCCUUCGGGGGCCGAGUAGAGUGGCGCACGGGUGAGUAACACGUAGGUAAUUUGCCUUUGGGUGGGGAAUAACUCAGGGAAACUUGAGCUAAUACCGCAUAAUGCAGCGGCUCGACAUCGAGACAGUUGUUAAAGCGGGGGAUCGCAAGACCUCGCGCCUGAAGAGAAGCCUGCGGCAGAUUAGCUAGUUGGUAGGGUAAUGGCCUACCAAGGCGACGAUCUGUAACCGGCCUGAGAGGGCGGUCGGUCACACUGACACUGACAUACGGGUCAGACUCCUAGGGAGGCAGCAGUCGGGAAUUUGGGCAAUGGGCGAAAGCCUGACCCAGCAACGCCGCGUGAAGGAUGAAAUUUUUCGGAAUGUAAAACUUCGCAAAGAACGGAAAGAAAUAAAGUAAGAAAGAAUAAAUAACCUUCUAUGAUGACGUACCGUUUGUAAAGCUCGGACUAACUCCGUGCAGCAGCCCG
This 519-nucleotide ribosomal RNA is filed under the name uncultured soil bacterium. RNAcentral describes it as "bacterial SSU rRNA". It matches the Rfam family "Bacterial small subunit ribosomal RNA", at positions 26 to 517 of the family's 1533-position model. The record is from RNAcentral.